This is a non-coding RNA of Musa acuminata subsp. malaccensis (wild Malaysian banana), 338 nucleotides long. Lineage: Eukaryota; Viridiplantae; Streptophyta; Magnoliopsida; Zingiberales; Musaceae. The record is from RefSeq and is a predicted model, not a curated record.
CGGUGAAUUGCUGUGUAAAAGUUGGAUGUUUCUUCAUUUCUUAUCGAUUGAGGACGCAAGCUUCGAUUCUUAGAUGCUCGAGUUUGUUAGGUGCUGUCAGCUAACCUGGACAGAAUGAGAAAAGGAGACAAUGAAUGGAAUCCUUACUUGCAUGGGAAUUUGAUUGUAAAUAUUUGAGGAUCCAGCAUAUCUGCAAAUGUUCCUUUCUCAAUUGAACGCUCCACAUGAUGAGUCAGCCCCAUGGGAGGUUUCCCAAAUGUUCCAGCUGCAGAUGUCAUAUGAUACUGGGUGACACUGUCUGCCACAGAUGGGGGUACCAGGCGGGCUAGGCCGACAUC